RNAcentral lists this non-coding RNA (27 nucleotides) under Mus musculus (house mouse). The record is from RNAcentral. Lineage: Eukaryota; Metazoa; Chordata; Mammalia; Rodentia; Muridae.
UACCACUGAAGUAUAUUCACUGAAGUA